GCUACUACCGAUUGAAUGAUUUAGUGAGGCCUUCGGACUGGCGCUCUUGGAUGCCGGGCCCAUGCGGUUCCGCCGCUGGGCUCUCGGCGCCUCGAGCUGACGGAAAGAUGUCCAAACUUGAUCAUUUAGAGGAAGUAAAAGUCGUAACAAGGUUUCCGUAGGUG
Molecule: ribosomal RNA, 164 nt
Filed under: Segonzacia mesatlantica
Lineage: Eukaryota; Metazoa; Arthropoda; Malacostraca; Decapoda; Bythograeidae
Description: partial small subunit ribosomal RNA
Rfam family: Eukaryotic small subunit ribosomal RNA
Source: RNAcentral